Molecule: long non-coding RNA, 3142 nt
Organism: Ailuropoda melanoleuca (giant panda)
Lineage: Eukaryota; Metazoa; Chordata; Mammalia; Carnivora; Ursidae
Exons: 2
Source: RefSeq, a predicted model, not a curated record
UUCAGACAGCAUUGCAUGAACUGGACACAUGCUCUGCGUAUUCCCUCUAAAUCUAAGGUGUGAGAUACAAGGACCCUUUGCCCUCACACAGUCUUGCUCUGUGAACGAGAGUUUACGUUAUUCUCCUCAGGCGAAAUAGUUUCGGGGGUAAACAGAUUGCACAGAAAUUUAGAAUCUGUUCAUCGACUGGGUGACCUGUAAGACGUCAAUGUGAAAGUGGCUUCUUGCACAAAAUUUCUGUUUCACGUUCCUAAAUGAGAAUCAGAAAAGUUGUCAUUUAUGAAUCUAAUUGUCAGCUGUGCUUCCAUUUUCCUGUCAUCGAUCUUAUCCCACUUAUUAUGCUGCGCUGCUGCCUUUUGGUUUGAUGUGACUGUUUUAUUUAGCCCUUUUCCCUUCCUCUGUUCAGCACAUACCAAACUGGUGAGAGCAACAGAGAAGUAAAAUUUAAUUCUCUCUGAGAAGAAGAGAUGAGAGAAAGGUUUGCUUGUAUCGUUAAAAGGAAAGGAGACAUUAGGGCCGAAUACAGUGCUUGCCAGGAUAAAUCAGCUGCCCUGACGGAGCAGACACACUAACUGGUUUCUGCUUACUGGUUAUUCCUUUGAGAUCUACAGUAAAUUCACAGAGCUUCUAUGGAAAACAGUAUAAAUGGUCCUCAAAAAAUUAAGAACAGAGACACCACCAGAUGAUCCAGCAAGUCCACUCAUGGGUAUGUACCCAGAGGAAACAAAACCCCUGCAUAGCACUCUGUUCACUGCAGCAUUACGUACAAGCGCCAAGACACAGAAACAACCGACGUGUCCACAGAAGGCUGAAUUCUGAAAGAAAACAUGGGCUACAGAUACGGCGGCAUACUAUUCAGCCAUGAAAAAAGAAGGCCAUCUUGCCGUUGAGGACAAAAUAUAUGGACCCUCCGGGCAUUUUGCUAAGUGAAGUGAAAGUCCAACAGAGAGACAAAUAUUGUAGGAUCUUUCUUAUUUGUAGAAGCUAAACAACAACAACGACUGACUCCUGGAAACAGAAACCAGACUGCUGGUUCUUGGAGUGGGUGCGAAUUGGGUGAAGCGGGUUCAAGGGGACAGACUUCCAGUUUUAAGAUUCGCAGAUACUGGGACAGAAUCCACGUGCGGCUCGGUGCCUGUCAGUAAUGCUGCUGUGUUGUGUAUUGGCAAGUGGGCAAGAGUAAAUCCUAAAAGUCCUGAUCAGGAAGACAAAAAUGUUUGUAACCGAGGUGCUAGCAAUUAAAUGCACUGUGCUGAUCCUUCUGCAAUAUCUGUGUGAUCGAUUCCUGCUGUACACCUUAAAUAUAUACAAUGUUAUAUGUCAGUUACAUCAGUAAAACUAGAAGGGGUAAAAAGGAUCUAUAAAUAAUACCCUGUAUGUUUUUCUCACUCUCAUGAACUUAACUGUUAAGCAUAGUGCUAGCAUUUUAAUGUGGUUUUGAAUGUACUCACCAUCCUUUGAUGCUGCUUUGAACAAUGUAUGAAUUUGGGCAUGAACCUCUGGCCUGUUUUCCAGUAAAUAACACUUGCAUUUAUAGGACAACUCAACACAGUAUCCUGGUAGUAUUUAGGUGGGAAGAUAAUUUUUUUUAAUGAAAUACCCAAAUUUAGAGACCUGUUGUGCAAGAUAAAUUACAUUUCAUUUAUAAAGAGAUUUUGAGAUCCUAUUUGUUCAAAGAUUGAGAAGUCUUCAAUCAUUUGUUCAACAACUUUAAAAUGUGUUUUAUAUAUUGUUUCAUGUAAACAGCCUUGCACAUACGUGUAUGCUGCUUCUUCCCUUCACAUUAUACUGAAAAUUGGGAUUUAGAACAACUUUGACUUCCUUAACUAAGAAUAUUAUUGGUAAAUACUCGAAAUGGGGUAAAAUUCUGUAUUUUUUUAAAACUAUUUGUAAUUUCCUCAUGAUUUAAGGAAGCUAUAAAGUGUGUGCUAUUUCUGCUUCACAUUUUAAAACAUCAGUGAGCUGUCUGAGACAUGCACGAAGGACUGAGAAUCAGUUGCAAACUUCUGUACAUCAGGGAGCCAUCGCUCUCGAAGCAAGAAUGCCGGCCGGUGCUGCAGUGAACAUUGUGGCCUUGCAGUUUUCUCUAAGAAGAUUCUGCUCUUUAGGAAAAUUAGAGUCCACUCUAAAUUCUGGCAAUGGGUCCUCCCCUCCCGGUACCUGAAUAAAGAGAGGUCUUCCUUUAGACAACGUCCUGUGAAAGGGGUGAGGUUUGCAGGAACGUAUCCAUCACAUAACCUCAGCUUGGAUCAGAAUCUGAGCGUGUAGGGACAGCUCACCUUACGUGCUAAAAGGAGAGUAAAAAUUAAGCCACAUGUUUCAGAGAAGGAAACUGUGCCUGUCGUUGGUCGUGCAAAGGGACAGAAAAAGGCAACAGCUGGGGUAGCCCCGAUGUGCAGGUGGGACAGACUAUGGCCUGUGGCCUCAGCCCAGGCAGGGUCUCUUCCAGGGAAGCACAGGGGGCAGAGGAGGGAUAGCCACUCAAACACACGUGACACUUGUACAAGUUUCGUUGUGCACUUUCACAUUUAGUGGCGCAAGUUAGGCCAAAUUAACGUUGCCUGGAGAAGGAUGUGGUUGGGAAUCCAGCAUGGGCCAGAGUAAGUAUUGUUUGACAGAUAAAUGCACGUUUGUGAUGCACUGUACGUGUUCCUUCCCUCUGGGAUCCGGGAGGAACUUUGGAAAGAUCAGCUUGAGCAGAAAGAAACAGGAAUCCGGGAUGAAGUACAGAUGGGAAGCUGAACCAUCCCCGUUGUCACACACUUUUUAGGGACAUCGCACUUGCUUCGAAGGGGUACUGUUGAUUUGUAACAAGCCGAAUAGACUUUUCAACCAAAGAUUGUAAUGCUUUUGAAAAUAGAUGGACUUGUAUCAUAGUUUCUGCUUCAAAUUUAGUUUUUUCAUUUUACUAGAUUUAUAUGGGAAAUUGACAUAGAUGUGUGAAUAUAAAUUAUGCUCUUUGUCAAACAACUUGUCAGUUUCCUAACUUAAGGGGAAAACCGUUUUCCCUAGGAAAGUUUCUGUAAUGACAUAAAAAAGCAUAUGUAAAUUUAAAAGUUUUUGUGUCAGGGUCUUUAUUGUUCAUUUUUUGAAAACUGGAUCUUCAAAUGUAAAAAAUAAAAUGUAGAUUGGAGAAUUUUCA